UGAACGAUCAACGCCGCGUGAUUGAGGACGGCUUUCGGGUUGUUAAGCUCUGUUCUCCGGGAAGAACGGCUCAAGGCCGAACAGGCCUUGAGUGUGGCGGUACCGGACAAUAAAGGCCCGGCUAACUACUUGCCACCGCCCGCGGUAAU
Molecule: ribosomal RNA, 149 nt
Filed under: uncultured bacterium
Lineage: Bacteria
Description: partial 16S ribosomal RNA
Rfam family: Bacterial small subunit ribosomal RNA
Source: RNAcentral